RNAcentral lists this ribosomal RNA (397 nucleotides) under Limaria pellucida. Its description in RNAcentral is "partial 12S ribosomal RNA". It matches the Rfam family "Bacterial small subunit ribosomal RNA", at positions 882 to 1419 of the family's 1533-position model. Lineage: Eukaryota; Metazoa; Mollusca; Bivalvia; Limoida; Limidae. The record is from RNAcentral.
CCAACCCCCCCCAACCUGUUUUAAAAUUCAAAGAACUUGGCGGUCGACUAACCUACCAGGGGAACAUGUGCCUUAAUUCGAUGGUCCACGAUUUACCUUACCCCGCCUUGUAAUUUUUGGUCAGCCGCUAUACCGCCGUUGUUACUUCCUCGUCUGAGUGAAGAGAAGGGGGGGAGGAUGGUAAGGUGGGUAGUUCCCUUUGCCACGAAGGCAGGUUUAGGUAGCGCCUAAGGCGGGAGGGAGUAUGUGUUACAAUCCUGAUUUUGGAUUACGGAUCGAGCAGGGAAGGUUGCUUGUGAAGGUGAACUUGGCAGUAAGAUAAGAGUAAUGUGCUUAUCUGAAGAGAGUGUAAUGGUCGGCGUUCAAAUCGCCCGUCGCUCCCGGCGAAAGUUGGGAU